GAUAGUACGGUGGAGCAGGGAUGCCUGAGCACAAGUAGCGAGUUCCGAGUGACUUUAGGAAAUGCUUCUCCCCCUUCCUGGGCAUGCAAACAAGACUCUGCACCUGCACCGCAGUUUGUUCCGGAGAGAAGCCUCAGCUUCGCCCUGCAGGGACGAGGAACUAGAGCAAGAAGCAGCAUUUGGAAAUUGCUCUGGAAUCAAGUAUCAAAAAAAAUCCCAUGAAGAAGAAUGAAGGCAGCUCCAUCUACCUGUUCAAUGGCAAUCCAGUAGGAACCACAGCUACGUGCAUGCCCCCGAGGAACUUAAAGAGAUUCUCAGAAUGAACACAGACUUCCUUAAAGCAACAUGUCCAGGCUGACUUCAGUCCUUCAUGUAGAAGACUCUGCCUGAUCUGAGAAGAGCAACUGUAUUUGAAUUUGCAAUAUAAAGGCUUCCUAUGUGGUUUCAAUGAAAAUGGACUACUGGAUUAUCCUGGAGCCAAGGCAAUUACAGGAGAGUAGGUA
RNAcentral lists this long non-coding RNA (503 nucleotides) under Mus caroli (Ryukyu mouse). RNAcentral's name for it is "lncRNA (MGP_CAROLIEiJ_G0013254.1)". The record is from RNAcentral. Lineage: Eukaryota; Metazoa; Chordata; Mammalia; Rodentia; Muridae.